Molecule: ribosomal RNA, 253 nt
Filed under: uncultured bacterium
Lineage: Bacteria
Description: partial 16S ribosomal RNA
Rfam family: Bacterial small subunit ribosomal RNA
Source: RNAcentral
UACGUAGGGAGCAAGCGUUAUCCGGAAUUAUUGGGUGUAAAGGGUGCGUAGACGGGUUAACAAGUUAGUUGUGAAAUCCCUCGGCUCAACUGAGGAACUGCAACUAAAACUAUUAAUCUUGAGUGCAGGAGAGGUAAGUGGAAUUCCUAGUGUAGCGGUGAAAUGCGUAGAUAUUAGGAAGAACACCAGAGGCGAAGGCGGUUUACUGGACUGCAACUGACACUGAGGCUCGAAAGCGUGGGGAGCAAACAGG